UUCGCAAUGCCCGAAAGGGUGACGAAGCGACGCCGCGUGGGUGAGGAAGGCCUUCGGGUUGUAAAGCCCUGUCAGGAGUUAAGAAAUGUAAGUGUGCUAAUAUCGCAUUUACUUGACGAAGGCUCCAAAGGAAGUCACGGCUAACUCUGUGCCAGCAGCCGCGGUAAUACAGAGGUGGCAAGCGUUGUUCGGAAUUAUUGGGCGUAAAGAGCACGUAGGUGGGUUUGUAAGUCAGAUGUGAGAGCCUCCUGUUCAACGGGAGAAUUGCAUCUGAAACUACUGAUCUUGAGUAUAGGAGGGGAGAAUGGAACUUCUGGUGGAGCGGUGAAAUGCGUAGAUAUCAGAAGGAACGCCGGCGGCGAAAGCGAUUCUCUGGCCUAUUACUGACACUCAGUGUGCGAAAGCUAGGGGAGCAAACGGGAUUAGAUACCCCGGUAGUCCUAGCCGUAAACGAUGGGCACUAAGUAGAGGGGUUUU
RNAcentral lists this ribosomal RNA (477 nucleotides) under Candidatus Scalindua brodae. RNAcentral describes it as "bacterial SSU rRNA". It matches the Rfam family "Bacterial small subunit ribosomal RNA", at positions 365 to 832 of the family's 1533-position model. RNAcentral also lists the same sequence under 1 other name. The record is from RNAcentral. Lineage: Bacteria; Pseudomonadati; Planctomycetota; Candidatus Brocadiia; Candidatus Brocadiales; Candidatus Scalinduaceae.